GAUGAACGCUGGCGGCGUGCCUAAUACAUGCAAGUCGAGCGAACAGACGAGGAGCUUGCUCCUCUGACGUUAGCGGCGGACGGGUGAGUAACACGUGGAUAACCUACCUAUAAGACUGGGAUAACUUCGGGAAACCGGAGCUAAUACCGGAUAAUAUAUUGAACCGCAUGGUUCAAUAGUGAAAGACGGUUUUGCUGUCACUUAUAGAUGGAUCCGCGCCGCAUUAGCUAGUUGGUAAGGUAACGGCUUACCAAGGCAACGAUGCGUAGCCGACCUGAGAGGGUGAUCGGCCACACUGGAACUGAGACACGGUCCAGACUCCUACGGGAGGCAGCAGUAGGGAAUCUUCCGCAAAGGGCGAAAGCCUGACGGAACAACGCCGCGUGAGUGAUGAAGGUCUUCGGAUCGUAAAACUCUGUUAUUAGGGAAGAACAAAUGUGUAAGUAACUAUGCACGUCUUGACGGUACCUAAUCAGAAAGCCACGGCUAACUACGUG
RNAcentral lists this ribosomal RNA (497 nucleotides) under uncultured bacterium. RNAcentral's name for it is "partial 16S ribosomal RNA". It matches the Rfam family "Bacterial small subunit ribosomal RNA", at positions 28 to 507 of the family's 1533-position model. The record is from RNAcentral.